This 468-nucleotide ribosomal RNA is filed under the name uncultured bacterium. RNAcentral describes it as "partial 16S ribosomal RNA". It matches the Rfam family "Bacterial small subunit ribosomal RNA", at positions 28 to 507 of the family's 1533-position model. The record is from RNAcentral.
GACGAACGCUGGCGGCGUGCUUAACACAUGCAAGUCGAACGGAAAGGCCCUGCUUUUGUGGGGUGCUCGAGUGGCGAACGGGUGAGUAACACGUGAGUAACCUGCCCUUGACUUUGGGAUAACUUCAGGAAACUGGGGCUAAUACCGGAUAGGAGCUCCUGCUGCAUGGUGGGGGUUGGAAAGUUUCGGCGGUUGGGGAUGGACUCGCGGCUUAUCAGCUUGUUGGUGGGGUAGUGGCUUACCAAGGCUUUGACGGGUAGCCGGCCUGAGAGGGUGACCAGCCACAUUGGGACUGAGAUACGGACCAGACUCCUACGGGAGGCAGCAGUGGGGAAUAUUGCACAAUGGGCGGAAGCCUGAUGCAGCAACGCCGCGUGCGGGAUGACGGCCUUCGGGUUGUAAACCGCUUUCGCCUGUGACGAAGCGUGAGUGACGGUAAUGGGUAAAGAAGCACCGGCUAACUACGUG